GACGAACGCUGGCGGCGUGCUUAACACAUGCAAGUCGAGCGGAAAGGCCCUUCGGGGUACUCGAGCGGCGAACGGGUGAGUAACACGUGAGUAACCUGCCCCAGACUUUGGGAUAACCCUCGGAAACGGGGGCUAAUACCGGAUACGACACAGCUUCGCAUGGGGUCUGUGUGGAAAGUUUUUCGGUUUGGGAUGGGCUCGCGGCCUAUCAGCUUGUUGGUGGGGUGAUGGCCUACCAAGGCGACGACGGGUAGCCGGCCUGAGAGGGCGACCGGCCACACUGGGACUGAGACACGGCCCAGACUCCUACGGGAGGUAGCAGUGGGGAAUAUUGCACAAUGGGCGGAAGCCUGAUGCAGCGACGCCGCGUGAGGGAUGACGGCCUUCGGGUUGUAAACCUCUUUCAGCAGGGACGAAGCGUAAGUGACGGUACCUGCAGAAGAAGCGCCGGCCAACUACGUG
This 462-nucleotide ribosomal RNA is filed under the name uncultured bacterium. Its description in RNAcentral is "partial 16S ribosomal RNA". It matches the Rfam family "Bacterial small subunit ribosomal RNA", at positions 28 to 507 of the family's 1533-position model. The record is from RNAcentral.